UGGGGUGGGCAGACAUGUAGUAUGUAGGAGUUUGCACAUAAGACGCGUGAUCCUUUGUGUGUACUAACAACACAUGAAUGUGUGUGUGUGUGUGUGUGUAUUACCCUUGUUUCUAUGCUUAUGUAAAUUCCUGAGCCAGGUGUUCUCUCAACACUCAUGCAAUUUUAAUCCAAGUGUUCCUCUACAUAUGUGACUUUGGAUGUGCUAGAAAAAGGCUCAUUGCCUCAACGUGGGGAGAGCAAAGGAACCCCAAGACAGGAAGGUCUUAUCCGAGCUUCUCCAAGGACUCAAACCUUGACCUCAUGAGAGGUGCUCAGAUUCCUUCUCCGUAGACUUGUCCCAUGGACAGGGCUUCCAUUCAGGGACGCUUUCUUCUCCUCCCAGGAGGGAAACCAAGCCAUCACGCCAAGGUUCUGCCCUCUCGUUUUGACUGACACGUGGUGAGACAAUCCCUGCCGCCCUUGAAGGAAGCCUGUUCUUUGCAGUCCUGCAGGGCAGAGCAGUUGGGAGUUGGAGUACGGACUGGCCAGGAGAGAACACACCCCGCCUGUUUCCAAUAACCCGAGGAGGAGGCUUGGUGACGAAAUGGAGGAAUUUCUCCAACGUCCCCUGCUCCAGAAUGAUCCCUUUUACAAACCUGGCUAAGAAAACACGGGCCGAGGCCUCUGAGAGCUCCAUGCCCUCCUGGCCCUGCCAUUUAUCCAAUUUACACUGAUCAGACCCACAUUGGCAAAUGAAAGCCCCCUCUUUCCUUCUGUUUGCAUGAGCUACUCACGGGGGCAAUUUGAACGGAUUGGAUUUCCCCUUGGAAAUGCUGGUAUUUCCAUGAUUUGAAAAGUCUGGCUCAAUUAGAAUAAUCUUCAGGCACUUCCUCUCCUUUUAUGCAGGUAAAUCAUGGAUAAUUUAAAAGCAAAAGAACCUUUCGGACCAUUGGGCCUGCCUCUUUCAUCUCCUCGCCCUCGUAAUUGCCCCUCCAUUGUGAGACCUCCGUGGCAGUCUCCACGCGUUAGGGAUGCGUACACUAUUUUGUUUUUAAGCCGGCAGUUGUGGAAAGUGACAGAGGUGCUAAGCUCUUGGGAAUACGUGGAAAAGCUGCUCAGAACCGAGGUUGCUUUCCUCUGCGAUGGAACAAAGAGAGAGAAAUCAAAGACGCAGGACCCCUGGGGACUGGGGCCUCCAGAGUGCCCUCCCCACGUCCCAGUCACAGAGACCAUAUUUUUGACAUCCAAGCUGCCUCCCCUAAUAAUUUCACUGACUUUCCAGUUGGAACCCUCUCGACGACGCACCCCCCAAGUCUGGAGCUGA
RNAcentral lists this long non-coding RNA (1305 nucleotides) under Oryctolagus cuniculus (rabbit). RNAcentral's name for it is "lncRNA (ENSOCUG00000036199.1)". Lineage: Eukaryota; Metazoa; Chordata; Mammalia; Lagomorpha; Leporidae. The record is from RNAcentral.